This 382-nucleotide ribosomal RNA is filed under the name uncultured eukaryote. RNAcentral describes it as "partial 18S ribosomal RNA". It matches the Rfam family "Eukaryotic small subunit ribosomal RNA", at positions 592 to 976 of the family's 1831-position model. The record is from RNAcentral.
CAAUAGCGUAUAUUAAAGUUGUUGCAGGUAAAAAGCUCGUAGUUGGAUUUCUGGUUGAAGCGACCGGUCGGGCGUUGAUUCGUCUGCACUGGAGUCGGUUUUGGCCAUCCUCUAGGAAAGUGCGUCUGGUAUUAAGUUAUCGGGCGUAUGAUCCUGGUCUUUUACUGUGAAAAAAUUAGAGUGUUUAAAGCAGGCCUUCGCCUUGAAUACAUUAGCAUGGAAUAAUAGGAUAGGACUUUGGUCUAUUUUGUUGGUUUGCAGACCGAAGUAAUGAUUAAUAGGGAUAGUUGGGGGUAUUUAUAUUCCGAUGUCAGAGGUGAAAUUCUUAGAUUUUCGGAAGAUAAACUUAUGCGAAAGCAUUUACCAAGGAUGUUUNCAUUAA